GUGCUCGCUUCAGCAGCACAUAUAAUAAAUUUGGAAUGAUACAGAGAAGAUUAAGCCUGGCCCCUGCGCAAGGAUGACACACAAAUUCGUGAAGCAUUCCAUAUUUUU
Molecule: small nuclear RNA, 108 nt
Filed under: Cavia aperea (Brazilian guinea pig)
Lineage: Eukaryota; Metazoa; Chordata; Mammalia; Rodentia; Caviidae
Source: RNAcentral